CGGGGAAUAUUGCACAAUGGGCGGAAGCCUGAUGCAGCGACGCCGCGUGGGGGAUGACGGCCUUCGGGUUGUAAACCUCUUUCAGUGCAGAACAAGGCUCUUUGUGGGUUGAGGGUAUGCGCAGAAGAAGCGCCGGCUAACUACGUGCCAGCAGCCGCGGCAAUACGUAGAGCGCGAGCGUUGUCCGGAUUUAUUGGGCGUAAAGAGCUCGUAGGCGGUUUGUCGCGUCUGCUGUGAAAUCCUCUGGCUUAACUGGGGGCGUGCAGUGGGUACGGGCAGACUGGAGUGAGGUAGGGGAGACUGGAAUUCCUGGUGUAGCGGUGGAAUGCGCAGAUAUCAGGAGGAACACCGGUGGCGAAGGCGGGUCUCUGGGCCGUUACUGACGCCGAGGAGCGAAAGCAUGGGGAGCGAACAG
This 415-nucleotide ribosomal RNA is filed under the name uncultured bacterium. RNAcentral describes it as "bacterial SSU rRNA". It matches the Rfam family "Bacterial small subunit ribosomal RNA", at positions 355 to 775 of the family's 1533-position model. The record is from RNAcentral.